RNAcentral lists this ribosomal RNA (381 nucleotides) under uncultured bacterium. RNAcentral's name for it is "bacterial SSU rRNA". It matches the Rfam family "Bacterial small subunit ribosomal RNA", at positions 28 to 410 of the family's 1533-position model. The record is from RNAcentral.
GACGAACGCUGGCGGCGUGCUUAACACAUGCAAGUCGAGCGGUAAGGCCCUUUCGGGGGUACACGAGCGGCGAACGGGUGAGUAACACGUGGGUGACCUGCCCUCAGCUCUGGGAUAAGCCUGGGAAACCGGGUCUAAUACUGGAUAUGACUCCAUGACGCAUGUUGUGGGGUGGAAAGCCUUGUGCGGCUGAGGAUGGGCCCGCGGCCUAUCAGCUUGUUGGUGGGGUGANGGCCUACCAAGGCGACGACGGGUAGCCGGCCUGAGAGGGCGACCGGCCACACUGGGACUGAGACACGGCCCAGACUCCUACGGGAGGCAGCAGUGGGGAAUCUUGCGCAAUGGGCGAAAGCCUGACGCAGCGACGCCGCGUGAGGGACG